AAUCAACGCUGGCGGCGUGCCUCAGACAUGCAAGUCGAACGAUUAAAGCUCUCUUCGGAGAGUGCAUAAAGUGGCGCACGGGUGAGUAACACGUAAGUAAUCUACCUUCGAGUGGGGAAUAACGUCCGGAAACGGACGCUAAUACCGCAUAACGCAGCGGCAUCGCAAGAUGACAGUUGUUAAAGAUUUAUCGCUUGAAGAGGAGCUUGCGGCAGAUAGCUUGUUGGUAAGGUAACGGCUUACCAAGGCUACGAUCUGUAUCCGGUCUAAGAGGACGGUCGGACACACUGACACUGAAUAACGGGUCAGACUCCUACGGGAGGCAGCAGUCGGGAA
Molecule: ribosomal RNA, 336 nt
Filed under: uncultured bacterium
Lineage: Bacteria
Description: bacterial SSU rRNA
Rfam family: Bacterial small subunit ribosomal RNA
Source: RNAcentral